Molecule: ribosomal RNA, 389 nt
Filed under: Yarrowia lipolytica
Lineage: Eukaryota; Fungi; Ascomycota; Dipodascomycetes; Dipodascales
Description: partial 28S ribosomal RNA
Rfam family: Eukaryotic large subunit ribosomal RNA
Source: RNAcentral
GCAAAAGCUCAAAUUUGAAACCUUCGGGAUUGUAAUUUGAAGAAAAGGCAUUGGAGAAAGCUAACCCAAGUUGCUUGGAAUAGUACGUCAUAGAGGGUGACAACCCCGUCUGGCUAACCGUUCUCCAUGUAUUGCCUUAUCAAAGAGUCGAGUUGUUUGGGAAUGCAGCUCAAAGUGGGUGGUAAACUCCAUCUAAAGCUAAAUACUGGUGAGAGACCGAUAGCGAACAAGUACUGUGAAGGAAAGGUGAAAAGAACUUUGAAAAGAGAGUGAAAUAGUAUGUGAAAUUGUUGAUAGGGAAGGAAAUGAGUGGAGAGUGGUUGAGGUUUCAGCUUACCUUUGGGUAGGUGUAUUGCCAACGCCGAGUCAUUGACAGCGAGACGGCGGUU